UAGGGAAUCUUCCGCAAUGGGCGAAAGCCUGACGGAGCAACGCCGCGUGAGUGAUGAAGGUCUUCGGAUCGUAAAACUCUGUUAUUAGGGAAGAACAAAUGUGUAAGUAACUAUGCACGUCUUGACGGUACCUAAUCAGAAAGCCACGGCUAACUACGUGCCAGCAGCCGCGGUAAUACGUAGGUGGCAAGCGUUAUCCGGAAUUAUUGGGCGUAAAGCGCGCGUAGGCGGUUUUUUAAGUAUGAUGUGAAAGCCCACGGCUAAACCGUGGAGGGUCAUUGGAAACUGGAAAACUUGAGUGCAGAAGAGGAAAGUGGAAUUCCAUGUGUAGCGGUGAAAUGCGCAGAGAUAUGGAGGAACACCAGUGGCGAAGGCGACUUUCUGGUCUGUAACUGACGCUGAUGUGCGAAAGCGUGGGGAUAAAACAGG
This 429-nucleotide ribosomal RNA is filed under the name Actinomycetes bacterium. RNAcentral's name for it is "Actinobacteria bacterium partial 16S ribosomal RNA". It matches the Rfam family "Bacterial small subunit ribosomal RNA", at positions 355 to 776 of the family's 1533-position model. Lineage: Bacteria; Bacillati; Actinomycetota; Actinomycetes. The record is from RNAcentral.